This is a long non-coding RNA of Nymphaea colorata (pocket water lily), 3388 nucleotides long. RefSeq lists it as uncharacterized. The record is from RefSeq and is a predicted model, not a curated record. The transcript is spliced from 4 exons. NCBI's taxonomy places the organism in Eukaryota, Viridiplantae, Streptophyta, Magnoliopsida, Nymphaeales, Nymphaeaceae.
CAUAUUUUCUAAGCCUCCCGCUCUCCUUGGCCUCCUCCCUCUCAGAAACUGCAAUGCAGCAGGAGUAUCGACCUCUCUCUCUCCCGGGCAUAGCCUUGCUAUCUGAGUUCGUGCGCUCUACUUGGUUGUGCUUUCUUCAUUUCUGCUGCCUCACAUGCUUCCCUUUUUUCCCUUCUAUUGUUUGGUUUCUGCUAGAGGCCGGAGGUUCCUUGAUCUUUUUGUAUCUCCUCCACGUUCUUGUUGGCUCCACAAAGAGAAAAGCUUGAUAUUUGAGACGUUUUCCAUUAGUGGGCAUCUGAGUCUACCCAAUCCAGUUGUAUUCUAAACUCCACGGUCUUCCCACUUUUGCAUCCCUUGCUAGGAGAGCUUUAAUCAGUUCCUAGUGCUUCUAUGGUUUUGUACGCUUGUAACUGUUUUAUCUCAUGUUCUACAAUCUUCUAUGGACCUAUGGUGAUUGUUUUCGCUUGUUCUGCAUGCGUUGUAUCCGAAGUCUGCUAUGGAUUAUGUGGGCAUAGAUAUUUCUACUUUUCAGUUUUCUAACUGCAGCGUCUUUAGCUGACCGUUAGAAAUUCUUCUGAGGUUUUGAAAGAAAACCAUUUCGAAGGAAGUGCAAAGUUACCUUUCAGUUGAAGUGCAUGCAAAACAAAAUAAUUCUUCAAAAGGAUUGCAACGUGAAAAUGAUACAAUCUUAGUCCUUAUCAUGUUUCAACUGGGGGAACUUUUUCGUUAAAAUGCCUGCAGAAGACAUAAUAAGUCUCCAAAGGAAGCAACUGUUGAUAUAAUGUGAAAACGGUGUACUCUUCAUAUUUCAUCCGAAUGUUGGCAUGAAAUAUGAAUAGAUUUAUUAUGUGAUAUUUGAUGUUUGAGCUCUGCAAAGACAUGUAAAUUUUGAGAAGCCACUAAAACAUCACUGGAACCCAAUGAGUUUAUCUGCAAUUUGUUAGAAGGGAACAGUGGCCAUUUAAUCACUUGGGGCUUCGCAAAUGGCAAAAGAGACGGCCUAGACUGAACAUGAACGACUCACUCGUUCUUAUGUUCAUAUCGCUAUUCAGUAGAUUAUUUGGAGGUUAUGUACUUACAUACUGGAGAGUUCAUUACAUUAUGGAUUGAGAUUUAAUAACAUCAUGAACAUUACUUCAUUGGGUUAGUCAAUUGGCAACAGUGACUUGAUGCCUAGAUUGAAGUAUGACUAGUUGGUUCAAGUUUGGCUUCAAAUAAAGUUAGAUACCGGAAAACUUAAUAGAUAAAUUUAAAUUUAUAACCGAUUGGGUUGAUACUAAGACCCAGAACCUGUCGUUGUUCUGGUGGCAUCCUAGGCCCUUAAGAACUUUAUCACACCCACUGCUUCAUUACAUUAAUCUUCAAAAAUAGAAUGAACAAUGACAAGAGAUAAUCAAUUAAAGUGUUUAUUCUUUCCAUAUAGCUUGCAUUUUUUGCAGUUUUGGUGCACAGGUAUAAAACCAACAGACAAUGAAAUCAAUGCACACAAGUGGAGAUCCAACUACUUUAAUUCUGGCUGUCCAACCCAAUUUUAGGUCAUCCAAACUGUAUUAAUUGUUGAAGAGGCUUAUUGAUGCAAAUAAUUUGACUUCAGUUUGCACGUAAUAAAUGUUGAAUGGGGACAUGAUAUGCAAUCUCUGAAUCGCAUAAGAGGAUUCAGCUUUGGUUGAAGAUUUUGGACAAGUAUAGGCCUUUAACUUUGCACUAGCAGAUGGUUAAAACUAUAGCUCGUUUUAGAUCUUUGGUCUAUAUAUAAUAGCAUAUACGGAUAUACCAGGUUGAGCUGUCUGGCAUUACAUAUCUGGUCCUUUUGAAGUUCAUUGUGAAGAAUGAUUGGCUGAUUUAACUUCUGUUUUUUUAAUAAUCUCUGUCAAAUUGUCUGUUCAUUUAAUACUUGACUGGCGAUAUUGCCAAUUAUUGAUUAUGGUGAAAUGGGUGGAAAAUCCCUUACUAUUCUGAGGUCAACCAUGUGCAGGUUGUGAAGUCGUAACAACUAAGAUCAUCUCUCUCUGUAAAGGAUGGACCUCACUCAGUUAAAUAUUGGCCAAGAGUUUGUUGAUGCUGACUCGUGUCAAAAGGCCAUUGAAGAAUUUGUAUUGUCUUCAGGGUUCACCCUUAAAAUAAUAGAGAAAUCUCAUUUUCUUUUAGCCAAGUGUGCCAGUGGAACAUGUCUAUGGUGUCUUCAUGCUUCAGAGCAUUCAAAUGGCUCAACUUCCGUAAUAAAGAUUUUGAAGAGGAGACAUACCUGUGUGGGCACUCAUUUAAACUUGCUCAUCAUCAGGAUUCAGAAAAUUUGGUAACACUGCCUGUGAAAUAUGACGUGUUUAUACUUACUAAAUAAAACGUGAUUGAUUAUUCAAGAUUGAGUAGUUUCUUGUUUAUAAAUAGAAACAAAUUUUUUUGUCUCUCUCCCAUACAUACACACAUGGAUGAAAUAUUGCUGAUGUUUCAUUUGAUGGAUGUUGAUGCUGACCGUUAGGAUCAUCAUUUUGAAGUUCCUCACUGUGGGAGCAGGCCUUUGUGCAUGAAAAGAACAGCAGUGCCAUACUAUCAGAUAUAUGAGAAAAUAUAUAAGUGUGGGCCUAAAGUUGGUCCUCAUGACAGUGGGGUGCUUUUAAGCCUAAUGGUUCAUCUCAAGAAGAUAUGACUUAAUUUCAGGCAAUCCAUUUGGCAUGUGUAUUUUGCAUCUGAUGCAUGUUGAGCCACAUUAUUGAAUGUGACAAAGUUUGCUGCAUGUAACAGACUCUCUACUUUGCUUCUCAUUGCAAAAGCAACUUCAUCAGUUAUAGUGAUACAAACGAAGUCCUCAGUCUCUAAGCGUCGUGCGGACAUUCCAACUACACGAGCGAUGUCAAAGAGCAUUAAGCUUACUCUUAAACUGGACAAGUUUGAGGCUGAAUAGGAAGCAAAGUGGAGAUGGAGAGGUACAUGCUGAUGGAGAGUUGCUUGAAGAAAAACCAUGUCCAUGCCCAAGCAAAGGAUGAUGGAUAGGUACCAUUUCAAUGCAGAUAAUGUAGGGAAAGAAGUACUUGCAGAAAGAAAUGAAAAAGAUGGGACAACAGAAUUACGUAGUGAAGGGGAGGUUGGAAGGGAAAGGUGGACAAAGGAGCGAUGAAGAAGAGGGACGUGUUAAAGCAGAGGAAGAAAAACAGGCUGCAAGCCUGCAAUUGCACUGCAGAUAAGAAGAGCAUCUGCACAGUAACCCUCUAAACAACAGUCAGGAUCUGUGAAACCAAACAGAAGAUGAAACGUCGAGAUUUUGCAAAUCUGAAAUGGUUUAUUCUUGGGUUCGUCUUGUUAAAGACAUGUAAAAUAUAAAUUGCUUUGAUUUCAUAGUGUGAAAUACUGUCUCAAGCCUCAAGAAAGUUUAGGCACUAGCACUGCAGGU